GUGCACUUGGCUCAGUGGUAGAGCAUCAGAUAGUGCGUGAGAUUCAUUAUUUGAAGGUGACAAGUUCAAAUCUUGCAGUGGAUA
Molecule: non-coding RNA, 84 nt
Organism: Lentinula raphanica
Lineage: Eukaryota; Fungi; Basidiomycota; Agaricomycetes; Agaricales; Omphalotaceae
Source: the annotation of a GenBank genome assembly